Non-coding RNA from Stegodyphus mimosarum, 73 nucleotides. The record is from Rfam. Lineage: Eukaryota; Metazoa; Arthropoda; Arachnida; Araneae; Eresidae.
GCCUUCGUGGUGUAAUGGUCAGCACACUCGGCGUGUAUUCGAGAGGUCCGAGGUUCGAGUCCCAGAGAAGGCA